CCCAGGUCAGGCGAGGCCAC
Molecule: ribosomal RNA, 20 nt
Filed under: Najas canadensis
Lineage: Eukaryota; Viridiplantae; Streptophyta; Magnoliopsida; Alismatales; Hydrocharitaceae
Description: partial 26S ribosomal RNA
Source: RNAcentral